UUGGAUGCCAGGCUUUCUAGUUAGCGCUCUCUCUUUGUGACUCACAGAUGAUGUCUCAACAUAUAAGCUCUCAGCUACUGUUCCAGCGCCAUGCCUGCCUGCCUGCUGCCAUGCUGCCUACCAUGAUGGUCAUGGACUCACCCUCUGAAACUUGUUGGAUGGCGUGAAUGGGCGAGUAAGCAUAGAAGAGCUUCCUGCUGCUCUUGGGUAUUCUCAUGUGGCCUGUUGCUGCUUUGUUCUGGGACUGGACUAUCAGAAGCAAACAACAUCUUGACGAAUGACGUUUACCUUACGUAAGACGAUCUCACCAGCCUCCUCGGUGCAGAGAAUUCUUCCCUCACUGCAGCCUGUGUAUGCUGUGGGAAUAGCAGAAUGAUAUACAGCCAACUGUUACUGAGCACCAGACUGCAGAUACAAUGUGACCAGCCUGCAGUGCUUCCUGUGCCACAACGGACCAACCACAUCCUCCAACCGCGGGUCUAGAGCCUGCAGUGAUGACGGAGGACGACGAUGGAGUUGGUUCCCUGCUGGUGCUUGCUUCCUAUAAAAGCCAAUCCUUUACGAGCUGAUUGUCUUCCAAUAAAUUUGGGGUCGCUGCAUUCGUGCUUGCCUCCUGCUGCACACAGCUUCCUUGC
This 635-nucleotide long non-coding RNA is filed under the name Mus caroli (Ryukyu mouse). RNAcentral describes it as "lncRNA (MGP_CAROLIEiJ_G0003206.1)". The record is from RNAcentral. Lineage: Eukaryota; Metazoa; Chordata; Mammalia; Rodentia; Muridae.